AGAGUUUGAUCAUGGCUCAGAAUCAACGCUGGCGGCGUGCCUAACACAUGCAAGUCGAGCGAGAAAAGGGGAGCAAUCCCCUGAGUACAGCGGCGCACGGGUGAGUAACACGUGGGUAAUCUGCCCUGGAGUGGGGAAUAACACCGGGAAACCGGUGCUAAUACCGCAUACGAUCACAGAGUCUGCGGAUUUUGUGAUGAAAGGAGCAAUUUGCUCUAGGAGGAGCCCGCGGCUGAUUAGCUAGUUGGUGAGGUAAUGGCUCACCAAGGCAACGAUCAGUAUCCGGUCUGAGAGGACGGUCGGACACACUGGAACUGAGACACGGUCCAGACUCCUACGGGAGGCAGCAGUGGGGAAUUUUUGGCAAUGGGGGCAACCCUGACCAAGCAACGCCGCGUGGGUGAUGAAGUCUCUUGGGACGUAAAACCCUUUCGACGGGGACGAAAGCCGCAAGGUUUGACGGUACCCGUAGAAGAAGCCCCGGCUAACUCCGUGCCAGCAGCCGCGGUAAUACGGGGGGGGCAAGCGUUGUUCGGAAUUACUGGGCGUAAAGGGCGCGUAGGCGGUUCGCUAAGUCGGAUGUGAAAACUCUGGGCUCAACCCAGAGCCUGCAUCCGAAACUGGCGGGCUAGAGUUCUGGAGGGGGUAGCGGAAUUCCUGGUGUAGCGGUGAAAUGCGUAGAUAUCAGGAGGAACACCGGUGGCGAAGGCGGCUACCUGGACAGAAACUGACGCUGAGGCGCGAAAGCUAGGGGAGCAAACAGGAUUAGAUACCCUAGUAGUCC
This 784-nucleotide ribosomal RNA is filed under the name uncultured bacterium. Its description in RNAcentral is "bacterial SSU rRNA". It matches the Rfam family "Bacterial small subunit ribosomal RNA", at positions 8 to 796 of the family's 1533-position model. The record is from RNAcentral.